UAGGUAACCUGCCUCAAAGAGGGGAAUAGCCUCCCGAAAGGGAGAUUAAUACCGCAUAAUAUGUUUAAGUCGCAUGAUUUAACAUCAAAGGAUUUUCUUUAGAAAUUCCACUUUGAGAUGGACCGCGGCGCAUUAGCUAGUUGGUGAGGUAACGGCUCACCAAGGCAACGAUGCGUAGCCGACCUGAGAGGGUGAUCGGCCACAUUGGACUGAGACACGGUCCAGACUCCUAGGGAG
Molecule: ribosomal RNA, 237 nt
Filed under: uncultured bacterium
Lineage: Bacteria
Description: partial 16S ribosomal RNA
Rfam family: Bacterial small subunit ribosomal RNA
Source: RNAcentral